CACCCUUAGCGAGAGGUAUACCAUUCGUGGCAUCCUCUGGAUGUUGUUUCGGCAUCCUGCAUGUAAUCUGAGUGAC
This 76-nucleotide small RNA is filed under the name Pantoea allii. RNAcentral's name for it is "Retron msr RNA". It matches the Rfam family "Retron msr RNA". From Rfam's summary of the family: Retron elements are found in a wide range of mainly Gram-negative bacteria. Lineage: Bacteria; Pseudomonadati; Pseudomonadota; Gammaproteobacteria; Enterobacterales; Erwiniaceae. The record is from RNAcentral.